This 200-nucleotide non-coding RNA is filed under the name Symbiodinium sp. Mp. Lineage: Eukaryota; Dinophyceae; Suessiales; Symbiodiniaceae. The record is from RNAcentral.
AACGACGACAGCAACAACGACAAGUACAACGACGGCAACGACCCUCACAACAACAUUGACGCGUACCACCAGGCUUGACGCGCAUCACCAGCACUAGCUCAACGACGACAGCAACAGAGACAAGUGCAACAAUGACAGCAACACCUGCGAUAAGCCACACGACAGCAACCAGAACGGGCACAACCACUAGUGCAACGCCC